AGCGAACGCUGGCGGCGUGCUUAACACAUGCAAGUCGAGUGCGCAGUCUUCUGUAGCAAUACAGGAGGCGGGCGCACGGCGCACGGGUGCGUAACACGUGGGCAAUCUGCCCUCGGAUGGGGGAUAACCCCGCGAAAGCGGGGCUAAUACCGCAUGACAUUCCGAAGACUCCGGUCUUUGGACUCAAAGGCCGCAAGGCCGUCUGAGGAGGAGCCCGCGCCCGAUUAGCUAGUUGGUGAGGUAACGGCUCACCAAGGCUUUGAUCGGUAGCCGGUCUGAGAGGAUGGCCGGCCACACUGGAACUGAGACACGGUCCAGACUCCUACGGGAGGCAGCAGUGGGGAAUAUUGCGCAAUGGGCGAAAGCCUGACGCAGCGACGCCGCGUGGGGGAUGAAGCUUCUCGGAGUGUAAACCCCUUUCGACCCGGACGAAUGACCCGCAAGGGUUUGACGGUACGGGUAUAAGAAGCCCCGGCUAACUACGUGCCAGCAGCCGCGGUAAUACGUAGGGGGCCAGCGUUGCUCGGAAUUACUGGGCGUAAAGGGUUCGUAGGUGGUGCGGCAAGUCGGAAGUGAAAUCUCUGGGCUUAACUCAGAGGCUGCUUUCGAAACUGCCGUGCUCGAGUGCGAGAG
Molecule: ribosomal RNA, 633 nt
Filed under: uncultured Acidobacteriota bacterium
Lineage: Bacteria; Pseudomonadati; Acidobacteriota
Description: bacterial SSU rRNA
Rfam family: Bacterial small subunit ribosomal RNA
Source: RNAcentral